AGCCCCCUAGUAUAGUGGCCAAGUAUACAAGGCUCUGGACCUUGGGACGAGAGUUCGAAUCUCUCGGGGGCUA
RNAcentral lists this transfer RNA (73 nucleotides) under Candidatus Iainarchaeum sp. RNAcentral's name for it is "tRNA-Gln". It matches the Rfam family "tRNA". Rfam says of the family: Transfer RNA (tRNA) molecules are approximately 80 nucleotides in length. Their secondary structure includes four short double-helical elements and three loops (D, anti-codon, and T loops). Further hydrogen bonds mediate the characteristic L-shaped molecular structure. tRNAs have two regions of fundamental functional importance: the anti-codon, which is responsible for specific mRNA codon recognition, and the 3' end, to which the tRNAs corresponding amino acid is attached (by aminoacyl-tRNA synthetases). tRNAs cope with the degeneracy of the genetic code in two manners: having more than one tRNA (with a specific anti-codon) for a particular amino acid; and 'wobble' base-pairing, i.e. permitting non-standard base-pairing at the 3rd anti-codon position. Lineage: Archaea; Nanobdellati; Candidatus Iainarchaeota; Candidatus Iainarchaeia; Candidatus Iainarchaeales; Candidatus Iainarchaeaceae. The record is from RNAcentral.